CCUACGGGUGGCUGCAGUGAGGAAUAUUGGUCAAUGGGCGCGAGCCUGAACCAGCCAAGUAGCGUGAAGGAUGACUGCCCUACGGGUUGUAAACUUCUUUUAUAAAGGAAUAAAGUGAGGCACGUGUGCCUCUUUGCAUGUACUUUAUGAAUAAGGAUCGGCUAACUCCGUGCCAGCAGCCGCGGUAAUACGGAGGAUCCGAGCGUUAUCCGGAUUUAUUGGGUUUAAAGGGAGCGUAGAUGGGUUGUUAAGUCAGUUGUGAAAGUUUGCGGCUCAACCGUAAAAGUGCAAUUGAUACUGGCAGGCUUGAGUACAGUUGAGGUAGGCGGAAUUCGUGGUGUAGCGGUGAAAUGCUUAGAUAUCACGAAGAACUCCGAUUGCGAAGGCAGCUUACUAAACUAUAACUGACACUGAAGCACGAAAGCGUGGGGAUCAAACAGGAUUAGAUACCCCUGUAGUC
RNAcentral lists this ribosomal RNA (460 nucleotides) under uncultured bacterium. RNAcentral describes it as "partial 16S ribosomal RNA". It matches the Rfam family "Bacterial small subunit ribosomal RNA", at positions 338 to 795 of the family's 1533-position model. The record is from RNAcentral.